CCGACGGUGAGGGGUGAAGGCUGGGGGCGCAAACCGGAUUAGAUACCCGGGUAGUCCCAGCAGUAAACGAUGCCAGCUAUGUGUUGCUGGAACCAUGGGUUCCAGCAGUGCCGAAGGGAAGCCGUGAAGCUGGCCACCUGGGAAGUACGGUCGCAAGGCUGAAACUUAAAGGAAUUGGCGGGGGAGUACCACAACCGGUGGAGCCUGCGGUUUAAUUGGAUACAACGCCGGGAAUCUUACCGGAGGGGACAGCAGUAUGAAGGCCAGGCUAAAGACCUUGCCUGAUCAGCUGAGAGGAGGUGCAUGGCCGUCGCCAGUUCGUACCGUGAGGCAUCCUGUUUAGUCAGGCAACGAUCGAGACCCGCAGUCUUAUUUGCCAGCAUGCCCUUUGGGGUGUAUGGGUACAAUAAGACGACCGCCAGCGCUAAGCUGGAGGAAGGAGCGGGCUACGGUAGGUCAGCAUGCCCCGAAUCCUCCGGGAUACACGCGGGCUACAAUGGUCAGGACAAAAGGUACCGACCUCGAAAGAGUGAGGUAAUCCACAAACCUGAUCUCAGUCCGGAUCGAAGGCUG
RNAcentral lists this ribosomal RNA (573 nucleotides) under uncultured archaeon. Its description in RNAcentral is "bacterial SSU rRNA". It matches the Rfam family "Archaeal small subunit ribosomal RNA", at positions 691 to 1263 of the family's 1478-position model. The record is from RNAcentral.